RNAcentral lists this ribosomal RNA (497 nucleotides) under uncultured bacterium. Its description in RNAcentral is "partial 16S ribosomal RNA". It matches the Rfam family "Bacterial small subunit ribosomal RNA", at positions 28 to 507 of the family's 1533-position model. The record is from RNAcentral.
GAUGGACGCUGGCGGCGUGCCUAAUACAUGCAAGUCGAGCGAACAGACGAGGAGCUUGCUCCUCUGACGUUAGCGGCGGACGGGUGAGUAACACGUGGAUAACCUACCUAUAAGACUGGAAUAACUUCGGGAAACCGGAGCUAAUACCGGAUAAUAUAUUGAACCGCAUGGUUCAAUAGUGAAAGACGGUUUUGCUGUCACUUAUAGAUGGAUCCGCGCCGCAUUAGCUAGUUGGUAAGGUAACGGCUUACCAAGGCAACGAUGCGUAGCCGACCUGAGAGGGUGAUCGGCCACACUGGAACGGAGACACGGUCCCGACUCCUACGGGAGGCAGCAGUAGGGAAUCUUCCGCAAUGGGCGAAAGCCUGACGGAGCAACGCCGCGUGAGUGAUGAAGGUCUUCGGAUCGUAAAACUCUGUUAUUAGGGAAGAACAAAUGUGUAAGUAACUAUGCACGUCUUGACGGUACCUAAUCAGAAAGCCACGGCUAACUACGUG